This 403-nucleotide ribosomal RNA is filed under the name Verrucomicrobiota bacterium. RNAcentral describes it as "Verrucomicrobia bacterium partial 16S ribosomal RNA". It matches the Rfam family "Bacterial small subunit ribosomal RNA", at positions 355 to 776 of the family's 1533-position model. Lineage: Bacteria; Pseudomonadati; Verrucomicrobiota. The record is from RNAcentral.
UGGGGAAUAUUGCACAAUGGGGGAAACCCUGAUGCAGCGACGCCGCGUGAGCGAAGAAGGUUUUCGAAUCGUAAAGCUCUGUCCUAUGAGAAGAUAAUGACGGUAUCAUAGGAGGAAGCCCCGGCUAAAUACGUGCCAGCAGCCGCGGUAAUACGUAUGGGGCGAGCGUUGUCCGGAAUUAUUGGGCGUAAAGGGUACGUAGGCGGUCUAUUAAGUCAGGUGUGAAAGCGUGAGGCUUAACCUCAUUAAGCACUUGAAACUGAUAGACUUGAGUGAAGGAGAGGAAAGUGGAAUUCCCAGUGUGGCGGUGAAAUGCGUAGAUAUUGGGAGGAACACCAGUAGCGAAGGCGGCUUUCUGGACUGCAACUGACACUGAGGCACGAAAGCGUGGGUAGCAAACAGG